UGGGGAAUAUUGGACAAUGGGCGCAAGCCUGAUCCAGCCAUGCCGCGUGAGUGAUGAAGGCCUUAGGGUUGUAAAGCUCUUUUGUCCGGGAAGAUAAUGACUGUACCGGAAGAAUAAGCCCCGGCUAACUUCGUGCCAGCAGCCGCGGUAAUACGAAGGGGGCUAGCGUUGCUCGGAAUCACUGGGCGUAAAGGGCGCGUAGGCGGACUUUUAAGUCGGGGGUGAAAGCCCAGGGCUCAACCCUGGAAUUGCCUUCGAUACUGGGAGUCUUGAGUUCGGAAGAGGUUGGUGGAACUGCGAGUGUAGAGGUGAAAUUCGUAGAUAUUCGCAAGAACACCGGUGGCGAAGGCGGCCAACUGGUCCGAAACUGACGCUGAGGCGCGAAAGCGUGGGGAGCAAACAGG
This 404-nucleotide ribosomal RNA is filed under the name Actinomycetes bacterium. RNAcentral describes it as "Actinobacteria bacterium partial 16S ribosomal RNA". It matches the Rfam family "Bacterial small subunit ribosomal RNA", at positions 355 to 776 of the family's 1533-position model. Lineage: Bacteria; Bacillati; Actinomycetota; Actinomycetes. RNAcentral also lists the same sequence under 2 other names. The record is from RNAcentral.